This 1061-nucleotide ribosomal RNA is filed under the name Microbacterium sp. Its description in RNAcentral is "bacterial SSU rRNA". It matches the Rfam family "Bacterial small subunit ribosomal RNA", at positions 57 to 1127 of the family's 1533-position model. The record is from RNAcentral. Lineage: Bacteria; Bacillati; Actinomycetota; Actinomycetes; Micrococcales; Microbacteriaceae.
GCAAGUCGAACGGUGAAGCAGGAGCUUGCUCUUGUGGAUCAGUGGCGAACGGGUGAGUAACACGUGAGCAACCUGCCCCGGACUCUGGGAUAAGCGCUGGAAACGGCGUCUAAUACUGGAUAUGAGACGUGACCGCAUGGUCAACGUUUGGAAAGAUUUUUCGGUCUGGGAUGGGCUCGCGGCCUAUCAGCUUGUUGGUGAGGUAAUGGCUCACCAAGGCGUCGACGGGUAGCCGGCCUGAGAGGGUGACCGGCCACACUGGGACUGAGACACGGCCCAGACUCCUACGGGAGGCAGCAGUGGGGAAUAUUGCACAAUGGGCGAAAGCCUGAUGCAGCAACGCCGCGUGAGGGAUGACGGCCUUCGGGUUGUAAACCUCUUUUAGCAGGGAAGAAGCGAGAGUGACGGUACCUGCAGAAAAAGCGCCGGCUAACUACGUGCCAGCAGCCGCGGUAAUACGUAGGGCGCAAGCGUUAUCCGGAAUUAUUGGGCGUAAAGAGCUCGUAGGCGGUCUGUCGCGUCUGCUGUGAAAUCUGGAGGCUCAACCUCCAGCCUGCAGUGGGUACGGGCAGACUAGAGUGCGGUAGGGGAGAUUGGAAUUCCUGGUGUAGCGGUGGAAUGCGCAGAUAUCAGGAGGAACACCGAUGGCGAAGGCAGAUCUCUGGGCCGUAACUGACGCUGAGGAGCGAAAGGGUGGGGAGCAAACAGGCUUAGAUACCCUGGUAGUCCACCCCGUAAACGUUGGGAACUAGUUGUGGGGUCCUUUCCACGGAUUCCGUGACGCAGCUAACGCAUUAAGUUCCCCGCCUGGGGAGUACGGCCGCAAGGCUAAAACUCAAAGGAAUUGACGGGGACCCGCACAAGCGGCGGAGCAUGCGGAUUAAUUCGAUGCAACGCGAAGAACCUUACCAAGGCUUGACAUACACGAGAACGGGCCAGAAAUGGUCAACUCUUUGGACACUCGUGAACAGGUGGUGCAUGGUUGUCGUCAGCUCGUGUCGUGAGAUGUUGGGUUAAGUCCCGCAACGAGCGCAACCCUCGUUCUAUGUUGCCAGCACGUA